GCGCACGUGUGAAACUUGAAGGAAUUGACGGAAGGGCACCACAAGAACGCGUGGAGCAUGUGGCUUAAUUUGACCCAACGCGGGAAAUCUUACCGGGUCCGGACACACUGAGGAUUGACAGGCAAAAUUAUGAUUUUGUAUUUUUUACAAAUUUAUAUGCAAAUAUGCUAGUCCUUUCAUGAUUAUGUGAUAGGUGGUGCAUGGCCGUUCUUAGUUCGUGGAGUGAUCUGUCUGCUUAAUUGCGUUUCACCAAGGGUUUAUAAAAAACGUAUGUUGCGACAUCUCGAUCCCGCUUUUUAAGUGUGUGGUCUCGAUGUUUGCGCAUACAAAUAAGCCCUGAAAGCAACGAACGUGACG
This 357-nucleotide ribosomal RNA is filed under the name Foraminifera environmental sample. Its description in RNAcentral is "SSU rRNA". It matches the Rfam family "Eukaryotic small subunit ribosomal RNA", at positions 1129 to 1421 of the family's 1831-position model. Lineage: Eukaryota; Foraminifera. The record is from RNAcentral.